Small nuclear RNA from Jaculus jaculus (lesser Egyptian jerboa), 107 nucleotides. The record is from Ensembl. NCBI's taxonomy places the organism in Eukaryota, Metazoa, Chordata, Mammalia, Rodentia, Dipodidae.
GUUCUCGCUUCAGAAGCACAUACACUAAAAAUGGAACAAUAUAGCGAAGAUUAGCAUGGCCCCUGUGCAAGGAUGACACACAAAUACCCAAAGCGUUCCUUAAAAAA